This 783-nucleotide ribosomal RNA is filed under the name uncultured bacterium. Its description in RNAcentral is "bacterial SSU rRNA". It matches the Rfam family "Bacterial small subunit ribosomal RNA", at positions 8 to 796 of the family's 1533-position model. The record is from RNAcentral.
AGAGUUUGAUCCUGGCUCAGAUUGAACGCUGGCGGCAUGCCUAACACAUGCAAGUCGAACGAGGGUAGCAAUACCUUAGUGGCGGACGGGUGAGGAAUACAUAGGAAUUUGCCCUUAAGUGGGGGAUAGCCCGGGGAAACCCGGAUUAAUACCGCAUGAACUCGUGAGAGCAAAGUCGGGGACCUUCGGGCCUGGCGCUUUUGGAGAAGCCUAUGUCGGAUUAGCUAGUUGGUGAGGUAAUGGCUCACCAAGGCGACGAUCCGUAACUGGUCUGAGAGGAUGAUCAGUCACACUGGAACUGAGACACGGUCCAGACUCCUACGGGAGGCAGCAGUGGGGAAUAUUGGACAAUGGGCGAAAGCCUGAUCCAGCCAUGCCGCGUGUGUGAAGAAGGUCUUCGGAUUGUAAAGCACUUUAAGUUGGGAGGAAGGGUAGUAACCUAAUACGUUGCUACUUUGACGUUACCGACAGAAUAAGCACCGGCUAACUUCGUGCCAGCAGCCGCGGUAAUACGAAGGGUGCAAGCGUUAAUCGGAAUUACUGGGCGUAAAGCGCGCGUAGGUGGCUCAGCAAGUUGGAUGUGAAAGCCCUGGGCUCAACCUGGGAACUGCAUCCAAAACUACUGAGCUAGAGUACGGUAGAGGGUAGUGGAAUUUCCUGUGUAGCGGUGAAAUGCGUAGAUAUAGGAAGGAACACCAGUGGCGAAGGCGACUACCUGGACUGAUACUGACACUGAGGUGCGAAAGCGUGGGGAGCAAACAGGAUUAGAUACCCUGGUAGUCC